This 83-nucleotide microRNA precursor is filed under the name Loxodonta africana (African savanna elephant). RNAcentral describes it as "miRNA (ENSLAFG00000024746.1)". The record is from RNAcentral. Lineage: Eukaryota; Metazoa; Chordata; Mammalia; Proboscidea; Elephantidae.
GUUAGAAAUGCAAAUUCUUAGGCCCGCCCAGACCUACUGUAUCAGAAACCUCGGGGGUGGAGUCCAGCAAUCUGUAUUUUAAC